GAGCUUGGCUAGAGGGAGGUUGAUGCAGAUGACUCCCUGCACCUGAGAACUCAUUUACACCAGGCACGUUGACCAGUUAUGAGUCUCUGCAUUGACGGUCACCCACUGCAAAAAGAAGCUCCUCCAGCCAAGGCUGAGAGCGGUAUGGAUCUUCUCUGUGGGACUGGGGCAUCUGGCCCCGCAAACUCCUAGUUAGCUUUUUGAGAUAGGGUCUCAUUCUGCAUCCUAUGUGGCUUGGAAUUCAUUCUAUAGCCCCUGCUUACCUGGAACUCCUGGUGAUCCUCCUGCCUCCAUCUCCUAAGUGCUACUACGACUGAGGGUAAAAUCUAAAAUCUAAUCAUGCAAAGUUAAAAGUUUGUUGGACUUGUUCUAUUGUUUGUAGAAAAAACAAGGGUGGGAAGAUUAAAGAAAUAGCCAAGAAGCUUGGAUGGAAGUACACAUUUUGUGGGCUGCAGAAAAUGUCUUCAUUUUAAUCCACAGAAGUAGCAAAGACCAUGUUUAUUACUGUUGGUAUAAAGGCAAAUAUACUAUUACAAGGAAAACAUCUUUGCUAGUCUAUACCUUUUUUUGUUUUGUCCUGAUUUCAUAAGUCAAAACAUUUUUGUGCACCUUAUAAUUAUUUUGGAGGGUAUCCAGGCCUAAGUUAUUCUAUAGCAAAUCACAUGUGUAUAUAUUAUUUAUAUUUUAUGUUAUAUAAUUCUAAAAAUAUAAUGUAACGUAAUACUUAUUUGUAAUUAUUAUAUAUUUGCUUUUUAUUUCAUCUUUAUGUGUAGGAGUGUUUUGCCUGCUUGUAUGUGCACCCAUUGCCGGCCCCAGAGAAGGGCAUCUGUUCUCAUCACUUAGGACCGAAGUUUCAGACAGAUGUGAACUGCAAUGUGGCGCUAGAAAAUUAACUCUGGGUCCUCUGGAAGAUCAGUAAGUGUUCCUAACUGCUGAGCUCUCGCUCCAGCGUCAGACUUGUGUUUCUUACACUCAAGAGUAACUUAGCAUUUAUGUCCUUUCACGAAUAAAGCAUGGUAUAUUGCUGAAGUCUGAAAUCUGGGUUACGAAUUCUGCCAGGAUCUGUAUCAUCAGGGACAAGGAACUGCGGGUAGUUUCUAUCAUUUCCCCUCAUUUCUGAAAAUUUCAGUUAGCUAUCAAGAGUCUUGUUUAAAAAAAAACUAUCAUAAAUGUGUUACUUUAAAAACCAUGCAUACAUAUAGUGCUUCUAGUUUGAAACCACUUUCUGCAACUUUGAUUUUGAUAGAAACCUUUGACGAAAUGAAAAAAAAGGGGGGGGGGAGAAAAUAACGGUCAGCUUCAACUGCCGCUUCCUGAUUGGCUAAAGCCCCUCUAACGGUCAUCUGCUGCCUUAUAAACCACACCCCCUUUUCUGGAACGUUCCUUAGAGCUUUACCCUCGUGCUUCAGGCGCUGGCUUCUCAUUCUGCGUUAAGGUUCUCCAGGGUAGGAAGGUCUCUGACCCACCUGCCACCUCUAAGAGCCUUGUUCUUUUCUGUGGCGUUGGCAAUGGAACCCAGUGUUACAGUGUGACAGGUGAGUGCUCCUGAGUUACUUUCUUGCACACUUUCCU
Molecule: long non-coding RNA, 1572 nt
Filed under: Mus musculus (house mouse)
Lineage: Eukaryota; Metazoa; Chordata; Mammalia; Rodentia; Muridae
Description: long non-coding RNA chr2:29122734-29124306
Source: RNAcentral